AAACAGCAAAGAGCAGUUUUAUCAUCGAUGAGUAUUAUGUAGAUUUAAGGCCAAUUCGGGUAUUUACUGGUAGUACUCGAACCGCAAAUGCGACAAAUCUUUCGCCAUCACAGUUCGACACGGAGCCAUACUCAAGAACAAGAGUUUCCUGACUUGUUUCAAUCCUUUAUGAGUGCCAUGGAUGUACACAGAGGCCCUCUGUUGGAAUCUUCUUGUUCUUAUUGCUUGAAUGGCCCAGUCGGCGGUAUAUGUGGCGGCAUCUUUUUUUUUUUUGUGAUAUCCCACAAACUGUGUUAUUUUUUAAAUCUUUUUCCCAAAGAUUUUUUUUGGGGAAGUUGUCUGUGAAGGAG
RNAcentral lists this long non-coding RNA (350 nucleotides) under Androctonus crassicauda. The record is from RNAcentral. Lineage: Eukaryota; Metazoa; Arthropoda; Arachnida; Scorpiones; Buthidae.